AGUGAACGCUGGCGGCAGGCCUAACACAUGCAAGUCGAACGGCAGCACAAGAGAGCUUGCUCUCUGGGUGGCGAGUGGCGGACGGGUGAGGAAUGCAUCGGAAUCUGCCCAUUUGUGGGGAUAACCUCGGGAAACCGGGACUAAUACCGCAUACGACCUACGGGUGAAAGCAGGGGAUCUUCGGACCUUGCGCAGAUGGAUGAGCCGAUGCCGGAUUAGCUAGUUGGAGGGGUAAAGGCCCACCAAGGCGACGAUCCGUAGCUGGUCUGAGAGGAUGAUCAGCCACACUGGGACUGAGACACGGCCCAGACUCCUACGGGAGGCAGCAGUGGGGAAUAUUGGACAAAGGGCGCAAGCCUGAUCCAGCCAUGCCGCGUGUGUGAAGAAGGCCUUCGGGUUGUAAAGCACUUUUGUUGGGAAAGAAAAGCAGCCGGUUAAUACCCGGUUGUCAUGACGGUACCCAAAGAAUAAGCACCGGCUAACUUCGUG
This 489-nucleotide ribosomal RNA is filed under the name uncultured bacterium. RNAcentral describes it as "partial 16S ribosomal RNA". It matches the Rfam family "Bacterial small subunit ribosomal RNA", at positions 29 to 507 of the family's 1533-position model. The record is from RNAcentral.